RNAcentral lists this ribosomal RNA (424 nucleotides) under Verrucomicrobiota bacterium. RNAcentral describes it as "Verrucomicrobia bacterium partial 16S ribosomal RNA". It matches the Rfam family "Bacterial small subunit ribosomal RNA", at positions 355 to 776 of the family's 1533-position model. Lineage: Bacteria; Pseudomonadati; Verrucomicrobiota. The record is from RNAcentral.
UGAGGAAUAUUGGUCAAUGGACGAGAGUCUGAACCAGCCAAGUAGCGUGCAGGAUGACGGCCCUAUGGGUUGUAAACUGCUUUUGUUUGGGAAUAAUCGACAUUACGUGUAAUGUUUUGCAUGUACCAUUCGAAUAAGGACCGGCUAAUUCCGUGCCAGCAGCCGCGGUAAUACGGAAGGUCCAGGCGUUAUCCGGAUUUAUUGGGUUUAAAGGGAGUGUAGGCGGUUGGUUAAGCGUGUUGUGAAAUGUAGAUGCUCAACAUCUGACUUGCAGCGCGAACUGGCUGACUUGAGUACACACAACGUAGGCGGAAUUCAUGGUGUAGCGGUGAAAUGCUUAGAUAUUACGCAGAACUCCGAUUGCGAAGGCAGCUUACAAAACUACUACUGACACUGAGGCACGAAAGCGUGGGUAUCAAACAGG